Non-coding RNA from Schistosoma curassoni, 46 nucleotides. The record is from Rfam. Lineage: Eukaryota; Metazoa; Platyhelminthes; Trematoda; Strigeidida; Schistosomatidae.
GCACUGCUGAGGAGUCCCACAAUAGGACAAAACAUCCGUCCAGUGC